Molecule: ribosomal RNA, 446 nt
Filed under: uncultured bacterium
Lineage: Bacteria
Description: partial 16S ribosomal RNA
Rfam family: Bacterial small subunit ribosomal RNA
Source: RNAcentral
UCCAGACUCCUACGGGAGGCAGCAGUGGGGGAUAUUGCACAAUGGGGGGAACCCUGAUGCAGCGACGCCGCGUGGGUGAAGGAGCGUUUCGGUGCGUAAAGCCCUAUCGGCAGGGAAGAAGGAGGACGGUACCUGACUAAGAAGCCCCGGCUAACUACGUGCCAGCAGCCGCGGUAAUACGUAGGGGGCAAGCGUUAUCCGGAUUUACUGGGUGUAAAGGGGGCGCAGGCGGCAGCGCAAGCCAGGAGUGAAAGCCCGGGGCCCAACCCCGGGACUGCUCUUGGAACUGCGCGGCUGGAGUGCAGGAGGGGCAGGCGGAAUUCCUGGUGUAGCGGUGAAAUGCGUAGAUAUCAGGAGGAACACCGGUGGCGAAGGCGGCCUGCUGGACUGCGACUGACGUUGAGGCCCGAAAGCGUGGGGAGCAAACAGGAUUAGAUACCCCAGUA